Daphnia pulicaria is the source of this 1113-nucleotide long non-coding RNA. RefSeq lists it as uncharacterized. The record is from RefSeq and is a predicted model, not a curated record. The transcript has 3 exons. Lineage: Eukaryota; Metazoa; Arthropoda; Branchiopoda; Diplostraca; Daphniidae.
UGUUGCAAUUUGAAAAUCGAAUUUGUCGCCUUCUACGAGAACCUUCACGCCUCGUCGGAGAUGCUGCAGUGCCCGCGCUGUUCCGCCUCCAUCCCUGAUCACCCUGGAGUCUGUUCCAAUUGCGGAGAGAACGUCUACCAGUGCCACAAGUGUCGCUCAAUCAACUACGACGAAAAGGAUCCUUGACCAAACAGUCAAACACCAAGAACUUGGAGAAAAAAUGCAUGACAUUACAAACAUUUUGGAUGAAGCAGUUUCCUCAACAUUUUCUUGGAUUGUGUCGUUUCGAUGAAAUAAGAUAAAGAUGUAAAGAAAGAUAUGGCUUCCGCAGUCCCGCCUUUCCUACGGGCUGCUCUCGAUCGCUGGAACAGCCGAAUUCCGAUUUUCCAGCCUUUUUCUCCUGACGUUCUGGCCAGUCUAGCGAUCUGAUUCCGUCUGAAUCGUAUCUCAAGCCCGGCAUCGUCUUUGCCUUACCUGUUGAACGCGGCUGUUCGGCUGGCCAACGACCUAGUCGUCUGUUACCCCAUCUCGGAAGAGGCCGAAAAAAAACUGGUUGGCGUCUUCUUCCCUAUAGUACUGGACGCCUGCUUCGAGAAUUUGGUCGAUCUCGUUCAACUGGUUACGGAACGUCUAGUGGGAGCUGCCGACAGCGAUCGCUAUCAAGAUAUUGCCUCCCACAUCAUCAUCAGUCGGACCAUUCGUUGGUUACGGCUUGUGGAGCCCCGGUCCGCUGCUUGAAAGAGAAAGCCAUCGAAGAGUACUUUCGCUUCCUGGAAUCUUGCGUUGAAAAUCCGCUCACUCGCCAUCCACUUUCCCGAUUUUACACUUUCGAAGAGGAAGUCCAUUCCUUAUGCGUCCUUAUGGGACAUUAUUUUCUCGACGACGACGCAGGAGCUAUUGCCUACCUACAGAAAUCGGUUUAUUGCUUCAUCAACAAGAUGCUGUCAAUCAACGGAAACGAACGACACUGAUUUAGAUAACCUAUGUUUGACACUGUUGAACUUUGGCAGGAUUGACGAGGAUCGUUUGGAAGCAUGGAUUGAGUUAGUCAUCCAUCGUCAUUUGACUGGUCAAGACGACGAGGAAAUCCAGCAGCAAUCAGCUGGCAGGAGC